This is a non-coding RNA of Macaca mulatta (Rhesus monkey), 3527 nucleotides long. The record is from RefSeq and is a predicted model, not a curated record. Lineage: Eukaryota; Metazoa; Chordata; Mammalia; Primates; Cercopithecidae.
GACUUAGUUUAAACCAACUCCAAAGACUGCAGAGUUGACUGCUGAUUAAAAACUUGUCUUUCUUUGUCUGAGAAGGAAAUAGUAGAUACAGUUUCCCUGAAUGUGUCACAUUUGCAAAUUUGAUUUUCGUUUGCAGCAUUUGAAAAUGCCAAUGACUGGAAAAAUAUAACUUGAUUAUUAACAAGCUAGACAUAGUAACUGAGGAUUCUCCUUGGCAUCUACCCAUGCUUGUGUGAUAAAAAUAAAUUGGAAGAAGUCUAAAUAUGCAUUUAAAGGUGAUUUUAGGAUCAGCAAUCUAACAGUUUUUCUGGUCACCCCAUGCUAGUAAGUCCACGGGCUAAUUCCAAAGUACGGUGGGUUCUUAGAUGAAUAAAAUCUCUAGAUUCUAGUAAUGCAAAAGGUCAGUUUUGAUUCAAUGUGUUUUGCCAUUUGUGAACUGAGCCUGAAUCUUUAAAAAAGUAAACACAUUCCAGCCAUUUUAUUUCUACUCUCUUUUAGAGACGUGCAAUCAUUUUUAAUGGUUAAACCUGUAUUCAAUUGCAUUUUUCAAAUCCUCAUUGUUUCAUUUCCUUUCAGUUCUGCUAUCUAAAAAAUUUUUUCCACCUCAUUUUUCCUGAUCAUUUGUUCUUCAUACAUAUUCCACAGCCACAGCCCCCUGGUUGCCGAGCACUAGGGAGAGUUGAUAAGAGGAAUGAGGUGGUGUUCGGGAAGGAAGGAGUCAGCCCCUCCUAACCCUGCUAGCCACAGAAAGACUUUCAGAUUUCUAUCGACUUAGGAAUGGAGUCUAUUGGAAUGUGGUUCAAACCUGCAUCUUGCAUCAGUGGAAAUGGGCAUUGUGAUUGCUGUACUGAAACCUGUGCUCAAAUGCACUGGGAGUUUUACACUGUGUUUCGAACUUCCAAAUAGAUAAUGUCAGAACAUUUCUGAAAUGGGAUACUAACACCAAGAUAUACGACACCAAUCAACAAGUAUCAGGCAAAGCAGCGCGUAGAACUCGGGGCGGAAGAGACUCCCAGAGAAUUUCCAUUUCCAUUCCCUGUGUCAACAGCGUGGUAACUCACCUCCUAGAUUGCUUUAUGGUUUCAGGAGAAAUUCUCAGUAGGCUCCCUGUGCUGUACUCAGCUCCGCGUUCAAAGCCCAGGAAUUAGAUAUGUCGUAGUUUAUGAAACUGUUUAUGAAAGGAUCUUUUUUGAAUUGUUCAAAAAUCCAAGAGGAGUCAAACUUUGACAGUUUAAGACAACGGCAAGAGGGUCAUAGUGAUCUCCCCAGUGCAGCCUUAGCACUGAGGCUCUCUGGUUGAAAAUGCAAUUUCUUUUCUGUGAAUUUCUUCCAGCCCGUAAAGCUCCGUUUGAAACUUCUGCCUUUUUGAAGGGAUUUCUUUACUAUGAAGCAGCUGACAAAGGUCAUAUGAUGAAUAUGUUUCGGGGAUGAUAACAUUUUGAUUAGAUAUGCAAGAAUCUUCUAUCCUUCCCUAGGAUGUCGUAUUCUAACGUUUUCCAUUAUUUUAAAAAAUCAUGUAAGUUGAUACUAGUCUGCAAUAAGAACUUGAAUUUUGUGGCUUAUUUUCUUUGCUGUAAUGUGCCAGCACCGUGGGCAUCGUUGCAGGGAAUAAAUGACUCUUCCCCAAUAAACCAAAUGCCCAAAGAAGCCCCUGGAGGAGGCAGGGAUGUCCAUAAAAGUUGAAAUGGAUUUCAUAAUAUGGCGUUCAAUUUAGUAUAAUAAGUAGAAUUCAAAAAUAGCCUAAUCUGCCAAAUGAAAAUACCUUUGCUCAUCACGGAGGGAGGGACCUGGUACAGGAACCAAAUGUACAUGACUUAAGACAUGCCAAAAUAUUUUUUAUUAAAUUAUUCAUUUUCUUCCAUUUAAGUCAUUAGUUACCUGGAAAAUUGAAGAUCUUUCUCUCUCUCUCCCUCUUUAAGCUUGAAAAAUUAGCCCCUUAAAGACAACUACCAGAAAGCAUUUAUCAAAAGGCCUAUCCUGGUUCUGAAGCUUAUUGAGAAAAGGUCUGUGUUUGCACCUUUGUCGUUCUCCUGCAAAGAUUCUCAGUAACAGAAACUAUUUCGAAAAUGAUGCCGGUAAGCGGACAUCAUUAAUUGUUCUCUAAUUCUGGGAUUGCUGUGGAAAAUGAAGCACCAAGACUCAGCCUUAGAAGGCAAAGUGCGAACCUGUUUAGAAGUUUGAUAGAUGACAUCAUGAUGUUCAGAAGAAAAAACGGGCACUUAGAGACAGAAGCACCCGGAGAGUGAUGGGAGCGGGCUCUGGUUCCUGUGCCACUGGGUUUGAUGAAAAAUCAGCACAAAGACAAGAGAGCAGGGAAAAUGAAGAAAGAUGAGGGGACCCUCAAACCACAAAGGUGUUAAACACGCGCUUUCCACAAAUGCAGUUCUUCUAAAUCAUGUCCCCAGAAAUCAAAAUGAUCCAAUAAUUGCUGCAAAGUAUGUAUUUACCAAGACAAAACUUCUAAAUCUCAUUUUGGAAACUGAAGGUUUGGGAGUUUAUUUAAAAUUCUUUUUAAAAUUUUUUCCCCUAAACCCUUAAUAACAGAGAAAUGAAAACAAUGGACACAUCAUCUGACGCAGUUUAAUGAUGACACUUUCACAAAAUGUUCGUGCAUCCACGUUUUACUCCGUUCUUAAGCAAUGUGAUCCAUAAGCCGACUCCAUUUGAAAAUGGCAGUUCCACCAGGCAGCAGGAGGAUUUUCCCUGGAGCUGGUCCUCCCGUCACUGCGCCACUUCUAACGCCCGUGCAGAUUAAAAGCUGCCAUGUAUGGGCAGAUGUGGAUCCUAUAUUUUGAUUUCAUCUAAUUCUUCUUAAACUGGGCUGGCUUAUUUAAUAGGAGGACGUUGUGGCUCUUGCUGAAGGCAGAAUUAGCAACCAUUCCAUUACCUUUUAAGACAUCUGUGGACAAUCUUUCCCAACCAUAAAAUCAUUUCCAUUCUCCAACCAUCAAGUUUUCAAAUGGAUUUCGUAAAUGUGCAAAAACUCCAAGCAAAUCUAUUUUUUAGAAAUGUCAGGCUGCAAAUAAGGACAAUCAGAAAGGGAGAAGCGAACACCAUCUGUCAAUGCCCCACCGGCCUUCACAGCAGCCCAGUUCUUAUGAUUAACCUAGCAUACUCCCCAUAAAGUCUAAAUCAUUCUCACCUUCCCAGGAGUUUGUAAGCCAGACAAUUGUGAAGGGGAAUGACUCAUAAUAUGACUGCAAAAUUUCACAGUUGAAAGUCAAAUAGCAAUGAUUUUGCUUUGCCAGCCUGACACCACCUUGACCAUGUGGAUGUGAGUCCCUGGGCAGUGAACAUGCUCUGUGAAGCGUUGGAGUCAUGUUGGUGCAAGCAGCUCCUUGGUUUAAAAGGUGCUAGGACAUGGUCACAGAGGGCAUCGGGCACUUUUUUCUCCAUCAAAAUUCCAUACAUUAUGAUAACUGGGGAAUUAAUGCCAACCACAACGACAACAUAAAACCUCCACCAGUUAUGCUGUGUAUGAGUCUGAGUUCUCCAGAAAAAUAAUAUAUAUCCUAUUGGUUCUCUUA